RNAcentral lists this ribosomal RNA (1012 nucleotides) under Haloferax sp. Its description in RNAcentral is "bacterial SSU rRNA". It matches the Rfam family "Archaeal small subunit ribosomal RNA", at positions 41 to 1044 of the family's 1478-position model. Lineage: Archaea; Methanobacteriati; Methanobacteriota; Halobacteria; Halobacteriales; Haloferacaceae. The record is from RNAcentral.
CGAAUUUAGCCAUGCUAGUUGCACGAGUUGAGACUCGUGGCAAAUAGCUCAGUAACACGUGGCCAAACUACCCUAUCGAGAACGAUACUCUCGGGAAACUGAGGCUAAUAGUGCAUACGGGACUCAUGUCUGGGAGUGCACGCACUCCCCAGAAACGCUCAGGCGCUGAUAGGAUGUGGCUGCGGCCGAUUAGGUAGACGGUGGGGUAACGGCCCACCGUGCCGAUAAUCGGUACGGGUUGUGAGAGCAAGAGCCCGGAGACGGAAUCUGAGACAAGAUUCCGGGCCCUACGGGGCGCAGCAGGCGCGAAACCUUUACACUGCACGCAAGUGCGAUAAGGGGACUCCAAGUGCGAGGGCAUAUAGUCCUCGCUUUUCCCGACUGUAAGGUGGUCGGGGAAUAAGAGCUGGGCAAGACCGGUGCCAGCCGCCGCGGUAAUACCGGCAGCUCAAGUGAUGACCGAUAUUAUUGGGCCUAAAGCGUCCGUAGCUGGCCACGAAGGUUCAUCGGGAAAUCUCUCCGCUCAACUGACAGGCGUCCGGUGAAAACUGUGUGGCUUGGGACCGGAAGAUUCGAAGGGUACGUCUGGGGUAGGAGUGAAAUCCCGUAAUCCUGGACGGACCACCGGUGGCGAAAGCGCUCUGGAAAGACGGAUCCGACGGUGAGGGACGAAAGCUCGGGUCUCGAACCGGAUUAGAUACCCGGGUAGUCCUAGCUGUAAACGAUGCUCGCUAGGUGUGACACAGGCUACGAGCCUGUGUUGUGCCGUAGGGAAGCCGAGAAGCGAACCGCCUGGGAAGUACGUCUGCAAGGAUGAAACUUAAAGGAAUUGGCGGGGGAGCACUACAACCGGAGGAGCCUGCGGUUUAAUUGGACUCAACGCCGGACAUCUCACCAGCUUCGACUACAGUGAUGACAAAUCCGUUGAUUACCUUAUCUGGACCCUCUGAAGAGGAGGUGCAUGGCCGCCGUCAGCUCGUACCGUGAGGCGUCCUGUUAAGUCAGGCAACGA